This is a long non-coding RNA of Strongylocentrotus purpuratus (purple sea urchin), 916 nucleotides long. RefSeq lists it as uncharacterized. The transcript is spliced from 2 exons. The record is from RefSeq and is a predicted model, not a curated record. Lineage: Eukaryota; Metazoa; Echinodermata; Echinoidea; Camarodonta; Strongylocentrotidae.
ACUAUUCAUUUGGAGUUGGAUCUGUAAUGAACGCCAUGGAUUCCUUCGGAUUGCAGAGGAGUGGUCAAGAUGAUAACCCGACAGUGUACGGUCGAACUGGUGACGAUACAGGGAAUGCCGUCUCAUCUACUCUUCAUUACACUCUGCUUCUCAUCCCUGCACUCCUGGCUGUCUUUCUGGUGUGAAGUCACUGUGACUGUCAUCUGUUUACCCCACGUUUUUUCUGCAAAUAUUAAUGGGGACAGUUUAGAAAUGAUCUUAUGUCACAUCCGAAAUUAUCUAUUUGUUUGACAAUUUCGAUGUUUAAGUCCAGACACCUUUCUCACAUGAGUACUUGUAGACUGUAAUAAGCUACCAGGGGGCAUGCAUAUUAUGAUAGGCCUACCCAUUGGCUAUCGCCAAAACGUCAUUUUUGGCGAUCGAAGAACUGGCUGCAAACUUUAGUCAGCUACACACAACUUUAGACUUAGACAGCGAAACUAUCACACAGGUCGAUAAUUUUGUAUGUGCCAUAGUACGUUUUUGUUAUUCAAAAUUAAAUCUAAUUGUAAGGCUAAACAAACAGCUCGACCAAGAUGCCCUGUAUCAACAUUGAUCAACAAUCACAGAAAACUAGUUUCAAUAUAACUUUAUUAACAAUCACGAUUAUUAAUAAAGGAAAUAGGAGUAUAGGAAAUUGUGUAUUAAUUACAAAUAAGUAUAUAAAAGUAGAUUAGUGGAAAUACAAGGUCAUGUUUUAUUAUUAACAAUACAGGGCUAAUACUUCAUAUUAUUCAUGAUGGAAUACGUGAAAAUAUAUUAACGAACACGUUUAGCAUGACGUCUGUUUCGGGUCACAAGGGCAUUAGUUCCAUGUCGCGCCUUUGCCGCUCCAAAUAGAAGAUGUAUACAUACAAUUAACGCGAAAUUGAAAAAA